AGCGCAACAGAGAAUUCAACCUAUAUAGCACGACUAUCUUUCGCACUAGUUUAGCUCUUUAGGAUGUAUUAGAUAGAGGUGGGUUCUUUUUGCCAAAUUGUCACACAGCAUUUUGUGUGAUGUGAUGAUCGUGUCAUGAUUUUAAAGCAUCUGUGUAUAUUAAAUAUUCUUUAAUUUUUAAUGUUAUAAUGUUUAUUGUUCCCAAACCCUAAAUUUGGCAUAAUUUUAAGGUUUAAAAUGACAGACUUUGGAUCCCACUGUUUGUAUUCACGGUUCAGUGGUAUUUUUCAUUCAAAUCCUUUGGAGCAUCCAUGCUUUUUCAGAGUAUAUUAAAAACUCUCAUUGCUGAAGAUUUUAGUGUUUUCAGGCUGCCUUUCCCUGUUGUGUUACCUGUAGACUUAGCAGGUGGAGCAGUACAGUGACUUCCCCCCGAGCUCCUCUUGUGGAUUGGCAUCCCCAGAGGCUUUGAAUUAUUCACACAGUCUCCAAGAGAGCAGUACCAAAUCUCAACCAUUUGAGCGGUUCAUGUCUGCAACCACUGCAAACAUUUCUCUGUCACUUUACCUUGAAUGACAGUAUACCCGAACCUUCUCCACAUGGAGGCUGUAGCAUUCACUUUGUUCCCAGAGAUUCUCACUUUCCAUGGUUCGCCUUUUUGAAGUCAAGCUUUGACAACCCCUGGGAUCUCCACUGUGUGCUAAGUCAAACAGUGAGCUGGAAAUUAACUGCAGCGCAAUUUGAAUACAGCCAAAAUUCUCCGAGAAAGAUGCGAAUCUACUUGCGUGCUCCACUUCUUGACAGAUGGGAAAAUGCUGCAUAAUGGUGAGAGAAUAUUAACAUCAUCGUUAUAAUCAAAUUAAUAAUUAUGAUGUCUCUUUUGUGAUCACAUAUUUCUUUAUUUUGACUGUGAGUACUGAUCUGACUCAAGCCGUAAAUCAGUCCGGUUUUCACUCCCAUGUCUUUAAUGGACCAUUUAAUAAUACGGUAAGAUUUAAUCUCUCUCGUAUCAUGGUGUUUGGUCAGAUCAUUUUCAUUUUGUGUGUGUUAUCUAUUAAAAUGCAUAAUGGCUUAAUAAAUCAGUA
Molecule: long non-coding RNA, 1082 nt
Organism: Cyprinus carpio carpio
Lineage: Eukaryota; Metazoa; Chordata; Actinopteri; Cypriniformes; Cyprinidae
Source: Ensembl